Molecule: ribosomal RNA, 434 nt
Rfam family: Bacterial small subunit ribosomal RNA
ACGGGAGGCGCAGUCGGGAAUAUUGCGCAAUGGAGGAAACUCUGACGCUGUGACGCCGCGUAUAGGAAGAAGGUUUUAGGAUUGUAAACUAUUUUAGACAGGGAAGAGACAAGACAGUACCUGUAGAAUAAGCUCCGGCUAACUACGUGCCAGCAGCCGCGGUAAUACGUAGGGAGCAAGCGUUAUCCGGAAUUAUUGGGUGUAAAGGGUGCGUAGACGGGAAUAUAAGUUGGUUGUGAAAUCCCUCGGCUUAACUGAGGAACUGCAACCAAAACUGUGUUUCUUGAGUGCAGGAGAGGAAAGCGGAAUUCCUAGUGUAGCGGUGAAAUGCGUAGAUAUUAGGAGGAACACCAGUGGCGAAGGCGGCUUUCUGGACUGCAACUGACGUUGAGGCACGAAAGUGUGGGGAGCAAACAGGAUUAGAUACCCUGGUA